This is a long non-coding RNA of Sander lucioperca (pikeperch), 174 nucleotides long. RefSeq lists it as uncharacterized. The transcript is spliced from 3 exons. The record is from RefSeq and is a predicted model, not a curated record. NCBI's taxonomy places the organism in Eukaryota, Metazoa, Chordata, Actinopteri, Perciformes, Percidae.
CCAGUGACAAAGUUCCAUUUAAAAAACUGUUUUGGACAACACGUGGUACCAAUUACACUAUAACAGCAAUAAACUGUGCCAGAUUGUGCAGUUCAGCAGGAACAAUGACUUCUCCCACUUCCAUGUACGACUUUGAAUGUAUGCACCACAGUAUUCCCUAGUACCAACCCACAA